This is a small nuclear RNA of Juglans microcarpa x Juglans regia, 195 nucleotides long. RefSeq annotates it as U2 spliceosomal RNA. The record is from RefSeq and is a predicted model, not a curated record. The transcript has a single exon. NCBI's taxonomy places the organism in Eukaryota, Viridiplantae, Streptophyta, Magnoliopsida, Fagales, Juglandaceae.
AUACCUUUCUCGGCCUUUUGGCUAAGAUAAAGUGUAGUAUCUGUUCUUAUCAGUUUAAUAUCUGAUACGUGGUCCAUUGGGCCACACGAUAUUAAAUUUAUUUUUGUCCGGGGAGAGUCCAUCACAGCAGCUUGCUGCUGGGGCUUUCGAGCUCGCCCUUGCGUUGCACUAUUGCCUGGGCCUGGCGCACCCUAC